This 159-nucleotide non-coding RNA is filed under the name Methylomonas denitrificans. RNAcentral describes it as "FMN sequence". It matches the Rfam family "FMN riboswitch aptamer (RFN element)". From Rfam's summary of the family: The RFN element is a highly conserved domain that is found frequently in the 5'-untranslated regions of prokaryotic mRNAs that encode for flavin mononucleotide (FMN) biosynthesis and transport proteins. Lineage: Bacteria; Pseudomonadati; Pseudomonadota; Gammaproteobacteria; Methylococcales; Methylococcaceae. The record is from Rfam by way of RNAcentral.
GCUUGUACUCAGGGCGGGGCGGAAUUCCCCACCGGCGGUAUCUCGGGGUUGACUCGGGGAGCCCGCGAGCGCCGCAAUCGCAGUUGUUGAGAAUGCGGGUCAGCAGAUCCGGUGAGAUGCCGGAGCCGACGGUCAUAGUCCGGAUGAAAGAGAACAGCG